CCUACGGGAGGCAGCAGUGAGGAAUAUUGGUCAAUGGACGAGAGUCUGAACCAGCCAAGUAGCGUGAAGGUUGACUGCCCUAUGGGUUGUAAACCUCUUUUAUAUGGGAAUAAAAUGUUCCACGUGUGGGAUUCUGUAUGUACCAUAUGAAUAAGGAUCGGCUAACUCCGUGCCAGCAGCCGCGGUAAUACGGAGGAUCCGAGCGUUAUCCGGAUUUAUUGGGUUUAAAGGGAGCGUAGGUGGAUUGUUAAGUCAGUUGUGAAAGUUUGCGGCUCAACCAUAAAAUUGCAGUUGAAACUGGCAGUCUUGAGUACAGUAGAGGUAGGCGGAAUUCGUGGUGUAGCGGUGAAAUGCUUAGAUAUCACGAAGAACUCCGAUUGCGAAGGCAGCUCACUGGACUGCAACUGACACUGAGGCUCGAAAGUGUGGGUAUCAAACAGGAUUAGAUACCCCAGUAGUC
This 460-nucleotide ribosomal RNA is filed under the name uncultured bacterium. RNAcentral describes it as "partial 16S ribosomal RNA". It matches the Rfam family "Bacterial small subunit ribosomal RNA", at positions 338 to 795 of the family's 1533-position model. The record is from RNAcentral.